CAGCAAGCCAUUGAAUUGCAAUCACAGAAAAACGGUCAAGUACUCGGAAACAUGAGCUAGAACAAACACCCCAACGCUUGGCACCGCUGGCAGAUGGAAGAUAAAUCAAAAGUUUAGCGGAAGAAACUCAUCAAUAAAUGGACCAUCAGUGGAAUGGCCAAGACUCGUUGAACCUUUUGUGUGAAAAUUGUUGUGACAUUUUCUUCAUUUCGUCUCAGAAUUGUGCAAACAAACAAUGGAGACUCGAGUGCAUUGAAAGAACCAAACAAACCAAAUAGAAAUAGAAAACCCAACGAAAUAUCUCAACUCGCAUCUCGCUAAACUGAUUCUGUGGUUAAAAUAAAAACAAUACCGUAUUGUUAACCUCUGCGUAGCCCCACACUUUAUGAGCUGCUCCCGCGUAAAAACCCAAAAAUUGCGAAUAAUGCGAAUCACGUGGC
RNAcentral lists this long non-coding RNA (440 nucleotides) under Drosophila guanche. The record is from RNAcentral. Lineage: Eukaryota; Metazoa; Arthropoda; Insecta; Diptera; Drosophilidae.